UCUGGUGACAAUAGUGGAAGUGUAACACCCGAUCCCAUUCCGAACUCGGCAGUUAAGCCUUCUCACGUCGAUGAUACUGCCUCUCCAAGGGGCGGGAAAGUAGAAAGUUGCCAGAC
This 116-nucleotide ribosomal RNA is filed under the name Treponema sp. Lineage: Bacteria; Pseudomonadati; Spirochaetota; Spirochaetia; Treponematales; Treponemataceae. The record is from RNAcentral.